GAGGGUAUGGCUCAGUGGUAGAGCACAUGCUUAGCAUGUGUGAGGGCCUGAGUUCAAUCCCCAGUAACUUCA
This 72-nucleotide transfer RNA is filed under the name Camelus bactrianus (Bactrian camel). It matches the Rfam family "tRNA". From Rfam's summary of the family: Transfer RNA (tRNA) molecules are approximately 80 nucleotides in length. Their secondary structure includes four short double-helical elements and three loops (D, anti-codon, and T loops). RNAcentral also lists the same sequence under 2 other names. Lineage: Eukaryota; Metazoa; Chordata; Mammalia; Artiodactyla; Camelidae. The record is from Rfam by way of RNAcentral.